This 129-nucleotide ribosomal RNA is filed under the name Aliivibrio sp. RNAcentral's name for it is "partial 16S ribosomal RNA". It matches the Rfam family "Bacterial small subunit ribosomal RNA", at positions 1 to 121 of the family's 1533-position model. Lineage: Bacteria; Pseudomonadati; Pseudomonadota; Gammaproteobacteria; Vibrionales; Vibrionaceae. The record is from RNAcentral.
UUAAUUGAAGAGUUUGAUCAUGGCUCAGAUUGAACGCUGGCGGCAGGCCUAACACAUGCAAGUCGAGCGGUAACAGAAAUUAGCUUGCUAAUUUGCUGACGAGCGGCGGACGGGUGAGUAAUGCCUGGG